This 161-nucleotide ribosomal RNA is filed under the name Nenga pumila var. pachystachya. RNAcentral describes it as "5.8S rRNA". It matches the Rfam family "5.8S ribosomal RNA". From Rfam's summary of the family: 5.8S ribosomal RNA (5.8S rRNA) is a component of the large subunit of the eukaryotic ribosome. It is transcribed by RNA polymerase I as part of the 45S precursor that also contains 18S and 28S rRNA. Lineage: Eukaryota; Viridiplantae; Streptophyta; Magnoliopsida; Arecales; Arecaceae. The record is from RNAcentral.
ACGACUCUCGGCAAUGGAUAUCUCGGCUCUCGCAUCGAUGAAGAACGUAGCGAAAUGCGAUACUUGGUGUGAAUUGUAGAAUCCCGCGAACCAUCGAGUCUUUGAACGCAAGUUAUGCCCGAGGCCACCCGGUCGAGGGCAUGCCUGCCUGGGCGUCAUGC